AUUGAACGCUGGCGGCAGGCUUAACACAUGCAAGUCGAGCGGGGGAAGGUAGCUUGCUACCGGACCUAGCGGCGGACGGGUGAGUAAUGCUUAGGAAUCUGCCUAUUAGUGGGGGACAACAUCUCGAAGGGGAUGCUAUACCGCAUACGUCCUACGGGAGAAAGCAGGGGAUCUUCGGACCUUGCGCUAAUAGAUGAGCCUAAGUCGGAUUAGCUAGUUGGUGGGGUAAAGGCCUACCAAGGCGACGAUCUGUAGCGGGUCUGAGAGGAUGAUCCGCCAAACUGGGACUGAGACACGGCCCGGACUCCUACGGGAGGCAGCAGUGGGGAAGAUUGGACAAUGGGGGGAACCCUGAUCCAGCCAUGCCGCGUGUGUGAAGAAGGCCUUAUGGUUGUAAAGCACUUUAAGCGAGGAGGAGGCUACUUUAGUUAAUACCUAGAGAUAGUGGACGUUACUCGCAGAAUAAGCACCGGCUAACUCUGUGCCAGCAGCCGCCGUAA
RNAcentral lists this ribosomal RNA (500 nucleotides) under uncultured bacterium. Its description in RNAcentral is "partial 16S ribosomal RNA". It matches the Rfam family "Bacterial small subunit ribosomal RNA", at positions 30 to 523 of the family's 1533-position model. The record is from RNAcentral.